GCAUGGUAAUGUGUUUAUGGCAGACCCUUCUCAAUGGGCCUCUCAUAGUGUACCCAUGCCAGAGCAAGCUGGGGACUCAAGCUAUUGCCCAGCUUUCAUGCCUGUGGGCUGUGAGCACUAAAGGUUACACAGUU
This 134-nucleotide small nucleolar RNA is filed under the name Castor canadensis (American beaver). RNAcentral's name for it is "Small nucleolar RNA SNORA42/SNORA80 family (ENSCCNG00000029323.1)". It matches the Rfam family "Small nucleolar RNA SNORA42/SNORA80 family". Rfam says of the family: The members of this family belong to the H/ACA class of snoRNAs that guide the sites of modification of uridines to pseudouridines. Human ACA42 (SNORA42) was cloned from HeLa cells by immunoprecipitation with anti-GAR1 antibody. Lineage: Eukaryota; Metazoa; Chordata; Mammalia; Rodentia; Castoridae. The record is from Rfam by way of RNAcentral.